GUAUUUAUGAGCUUGAAACCAUUUUAAGCUUUUACAUUGGCUAUAGAGUUGAAAAUGACCCACUUACCCAAAGAGUGUUCAGUUUAGUUUAGUUGUUGGAUAGCACUUGAUAAUUGUUUUCUUUGAAAGAAACCAUUUGAUAAUUAUUUGGCUUCUCCUCUUUCUCUAAUUUUUUAGAUAGAGAACAUUUUCUUUCUUUUUUGGUUUUUGGUUUUUGAGGUUAGGCCUUGACCAUUGCCGACUGGUGGCCUUCCUUGCUCUAUCCAGACAAGGGGGGACUUCUCUCCCCACCCCUUUCCCUUCCCUCAAUGAGGUGUGUGUGUUUUUGUGGUAGAUUCGAUGCUUCAUUGGAGAGGACUUCCCUUCGUUCUGCCUUGUUUUUUGUUGUUGUGGUGUGAUUGCAUGUAGGUCUCGUUUCUUCAUCUAAAGGUCUGCAAAGUUUUAGCUCUUACACAGCUUGUGCCAUCUUGGCCUUUUCUGGGUUUCUACGCAGGAGGGUGCUCAAAGUAGCUAACUAGUUGUACAGAAGGCGUCUCGAGGGUCAUUCCGCAGGCUACACAUUGAUAGUCACCGACCCACCAAGGCUAUAAGAGAUCGAGACGCAAUAGAGCCCUGCCUUUUGCCUCUCCCUGCGGGUCGCCGAUAUGGUUCUAGUUCUUUGGUUAUUGAGGUCCUCGUUGCGACUCCGGAAGUAAGGUUGGAUGGCUGGAGAGUGGUCUUCUUGCUCAUUGUUUUUAUUUUUUUCAUCAAAGAAAGAAUAGUUAUUCUUCCAGACAGUGGCAUAUGGCAAGGCUACACCACCUCUAACUUUGGUCCAUUGGCUUUUCAGCGACUCUGCUGCGGAGUUUUCCUGCUAGUCUCCAGUUAGGAGUACGGCUAUCUCUGUAUGGGCCUUAAGCUUUUUGUUUGUAUUCGAUAACUUUGGGCCUAUUUGAUGGGGUUUGUAUUGAGG
Molecule: unclassified non-coding RNA, 952 nt
Filed under: Hevea brasiliensis (rubber tree)
Lineage: Eukaryota; Viridiplantae; Streptophyta; Magnoliopsida; Malpighiales; Euphorbiaceae
Source: RNAcentral